RNAcentral lists this ribosomal RNA (100 nucleotides) under uncultured bacterium. Its description in RNAcentral is "partial 16S ribosomal RNA". It matches the Rfam family "Bacterial small subunit ribosomal RNA", at positions 1384 to 1482 of the family's 1533-position model. The record is from RNAcentral.
UACACACCGCCCGUCACGUCAUGAAAGCUGGCAACACCCGAAGCCGGCGCGCCAACCGCAAGGGAGGCAGCCGUCGAAGGUGGGGUCGGUGAUUGGGACG